UCCCUAAUAGCUCAGGUGGUAAAGCAUCCGCCUGCAAUGCGGGAGACCCGGGUUCGAUCCCUGGAUUGGGAA
Non-coding RNA from Bos taurus (domestic cattle), 72 nucleotides. The record is from Rfam. NCBI's taxonomy places the organism in Eukaryota, Metazoa, Chordata, Mammalia, Artiodactyla, Bovidae.